Molecule: long non-coding RNA, 370 nt
Filed under: Equus caballus (horse)
Lineage: Eukaryota; Metazoa; Chordata; Mammalia; Perissodactyla; Equidae
Description: lncRNA (ENSECAG00000055370.1)
Source: RNAcentral
AGGGGAUGGAGCAGCCACACGGGGCUGACGCUGCCUCUGAGCAGCAAGCAGUCCAGGUCACAGGCUUCUCCUCCUCUCCUGGGACCGGUGCUGGUCAGCACCCAUCAGGGUUUAGAGAACGUUCUGAGCUUUCAACAGUUCUGUGAGGUGACUGCUGGGGAACCAUUGCUGAGUGGGACAAGGGAGACACACAGAAACGCAAGUGAGCGUUUGAAGUCAGGGUGCUUGCUGCGUUCUUCUAAGUCACCUGCUCUCUGUGUGGGGCCAUGUGAGGCCUCAGCGUCCCCUAAUGAGGGCAAUGCACCCUCUGGAUGGGCACCCUUCUGCUUCUGCUCCACUGGUACACCCCAAACAAAUGCUUUCUCUCAGG